UAACUGAAGAGUUUGAUCAUGGCUCAGAUUGAACGCUGGCGGCAGGCUUAACACAUGCAAGUCGAGCGGGGGAAGGUAGCUUGCUACUGGACCUAGCGGCGGACGGGUGAGUAAUGCUUAGGAAUCUGCCUAUUAGUGGGGGACAACAUCUCGAAAGGGAUGCUAAUACCGCAUACGUCCUACGGGAGAAAGCAGGGGAUCUUCGGACCUUGCGCUAAUAGAUGAGCCUAAGUCGGAUUAGCUAGUUGGUGGGGUAAAGGCCUACCAAGGCGACGAUCUGUAGCGGGUCUGAGAGGAUGAUCCGCCACACUGGGACUGAGACACGGCCCAGACUCCUACGGGAGGCAGCAGUGGGGAAUAUUGGACAAUGGGGGGAACCCUGAUCCAGCCAUGCCGCGUGUGUGAAGAAGGCCUUAUGGUUGUAAAGCACUUUAAGCGAGGAGGAGGCUACUUUAGUUAAUACCUAGAGAUAGUGGACGUUACUCGCAGAAUAAGCACCGGCUAACUCUGUGCCAGCAGCCGCGGUAAUACAGAGGGUGCGAGCGUUAAUCGGAUUUACUGGGCGUAAAGCGUGCGUAGGCGGCUUAUUAAGUCGGAUGUGAAAUCCCCGAGCUUAACUUGGGAAUUGCAUUCGAUACUGGUGAGCUAGAGUAUGGGAGAGGAUGGUAGAAUUCCAGGUGUAGCGGUGAAAU
RNAcentral lists this ribosomal RNA (692 nucleotides) under Acinetobacter baumannii. RNAcentral's name for it is "bacterial SSU rRNA". It matches the Rfam family "Bacterial small subunit ribosomal RNA", at positions 1 to 687 of the family's 1533-position model. Lineage: Bacteria; Pseudomonadati; Pseudomonadota; Gammaproteobacteria; Moraxellales; Moraxellaceae. The record is from RNAcentral.